This 439-nucleotide ribosomal RNA is filed under the name uncultured bacterium. RNAcentral's name for it is "partial 16S ribosomal RNA". It matches the Rfam family "Bacterial small subunit ribosomal RNA", at positions 339 to 795 of the family's 1533-position model. The record is from RNAcentral.
CUACGGGUGGCACCAGUGAGGAAUAUUGCACAAUGGGGGGAACCCUGAUGCAGCAACGCCGCGUGGAGGAUGACGCAUUUCAGUGUGUAAACUCCUUUUAUAUGUCAAGAAAAUGACGGUAGCAUAUGAAUAAGCACCGGCUAACUCCGUGCCAGCAGCCGCGGUAAUACGGAGGGUGCAAGCGUUACUCGGAAUCACUGGGCGUAAAGGACGCGUAGGCGGGUUGGAAAGUCAGGUGUGAAAUCCUACAGCUUAACUGUAGAACUGCACUUGGAACUUCUAAUCUAGAGUAUGGGAGGGGGAGAUGGAAUUAGUGGUGUAGGGGUAAAAUCCGUAGAUAUCACUAGGAAUACCUAAAGCGAAGGCGAUCUCCUAGAACAUUACUGACGCUAAGGCGUGAAAGCGUGGGGAGCAAACAGGAUUAGAUACCCCUGUAGUC